This 77-nucleotide transfer RNA is filed under the name Chloroflexota bacterium. RNAcentral describes it as "Chloroflexi bacterium tRNA-Pro". It matches the Rfam family "tRNA". From Rfam's summary of the family: Transfer RNA (tRNA) molecules are approximately 80 nucleotides in length. Their secondary structure includes four short double-helical elements and three loops (D, anti-codon, and T loops). The record is from RNAcentral. RNAcentral also lists the same sequence under 3 other names. Lineage: Bacteria; Bacillati; Chloroflexota.
CGGGGAGUGGCGUAGCCCGGAAGCGCACCUGGCUGGGGGCCAGGGGGUCGCGGGUUCAAAUCCCGCCUCCCCGACCA